GACGAACGCUGGCGGCGUGCUUAACACAUGCAAGUCGAACGGGAUUUAGUAGACAGAAGCCUCGGCUAAAGAUUACUAAUGAGAGUGGCGAACGGGUGAGUAACGCGUGAGCAACCUGCCUAUGACAGUGGGAUAGCCUCGGGAAACCGGGAUUAAUACCGCAUAAAAUCGUAGAAACACAUGUUUCAACGGUCAAAGAUUUAUCGGUCAUAGAUGGGCUCGCGUCUGAUUAGCUAGUUGGUGAGAUAACAGCCCACCAAGGCGACGAUCAGUAGCCGGUCUGAGAGGAUGAACGGCCACAGUGGAACUGAGACACGGUCCAAACUCCUACGGGAGGCAGCAGUGGGGAAUAUUGCACAAUGGGGGAAACCCUGAUGCAGCGACGCCGCGUGAACGAAGAAGGUAUUCGUAUCGUAAAGUUCUGUCCUAUGGGAAGAUAAUGACAGUACCAUAGAAGAAAGCUCCGGCUAAAUACGUG
RNAcentral lists this ribosomal RNA (478 nucleotides) under uncultured bacterium. RNAcentral's name for it is "partial 16S ribosomal RNA". It matches the Rfam family "Bacterial small subunit ribosomal RNA", at positions 28 to 507 of the family's 1533-position model. The record is from RNAcentral.